RNAcentral lists this ribosomal RNA (494 nucleotides) under uncultured bacterium. RNAcentral describes it as "partial 16S ribosomal RNA". It matches the Rfam family "Bacterial small subunit ribosomal RNA", at positions 28 to 507 of the family's 1533-position model. The record is from RNAcentral.
GACGAACGCUGGCGGCGUGCUUAACACAUGCAAGUCGAACGGUGAAGCGCCUUCCUUUUUGGUGGGUGUGGAUGAGUGGCGAACGGGUGAGUAACACGUGAGUAACCUGCCCCCUUCUUCUGGAUAACCGCAUGAAAGUGUGGCUAAUACGGGAUAUUCUGGGUCUGUCGCAUGAUGGGUCUGGGAAAGAUAUUGUUUCGGUGGGGGAUGGGCUCGCGGCCUAUCAGCUUGUUGGUGGGGUGAUGGCCUACCAAGGCGGUGACGGGUAGCCGGCCUGGGAGGGUGGACGGUCACACAGGGACUGAGACACGGCCGAGACUCAGACGGGAGGCAGCAGUGGGGAAUAGUGCACAAUGGGCGCAAGCCUGAUGCAGCGACGCCGCGGGAGGGAUGGAGGCCUUCGGGUUGUGAACCUCUUUCGCCAGUGAAGCAGGCCUGCCUCGUUUGUGGGUGGGUUGACGGUAGCUGGAUAAGAAGCGCCGGCUAACCACGUG